CUGCAUGGUAAUCAUACUUCGCAUUAAUUGUUACCCAAAAUAAUAAUGUUAUGCCAAGCAUAUUGAAUAUUAUGCUAUUCAAAAAAUCAAUACGUUUUAACACGCACUAAGCAGGACUGCGGAAUUAUUGUGACAAAUAGAAUCUUCGCGAUCUCUCCUUGCAACAAAUUCCGAAAAAUUUUCAAAAAAAAACAAAAACUCCUAUU
This 206-nucleotide long non-coding RNA is filed under the name Ananas comosus (pineapple). Its description in RNAcentral is "long non-coding RNA (ACOM_LNC015453)". Lineage: Eukaryota; Viridiplantae; Streptophyta; Magnoliopsida; Poales; Bromeliaceae. The record is from RNAcentral.